Molecule: ribosomal RNA, 301 nt
Filed under: uncultured bacterium
Lineage: Bacteria
Description: partial 16S ribosomal RNA
Rfam family: Bacterial small subunit ribosomal RNA
Source: RNAcentral
CAGUCGCCACGGUAACACGAAGGGGGCUAGCGUUGUUCGGAUUUACCGGGCGUAAAGCGCACGUAGGCGGACUUUUAAGUCAGGGGUGAAAUCCCGGGGCUCAACCCCGGAACUGCCUUUGAUACUGGAAGUCUUGAGUAUGGUAGAGGUGAGUGGAAUUCCGAGUGUAGAGGUGAAAUUCGUAGAUAUCGGAAGGAACACCUGUGGCGAAAGCGGCUCACUGGACAAUAACUGACGCUGAUGCACGAAAGCUAGGGGAGCAAACAGGAUUAGAUACCCCGGUAGUCCCUGUCUCUUAUAC